CCAGGCCUGUAUGCAAUACUCUAAAUGGGGCCUAACAUAGGAAUUAUAUAAGCUACGCACCACUUCCUUACUUUUAUAACUAACAUUUCUAUUUAUAAAACAUCUUUCUAGCCAGCAGGGCACUUAUUAUCCCCCCAAGUGCCCAACUUUAACAGUGACACCAUGGAGGCAGCAGCAGGAGGUUUCUUCCUUCCUCUUGGACGACCCUGCUGAUGCACAGCAGCAGCGUGCUGAGCCUGAAGGCACAUGUGACACCUGCUCGGGUAGUGAAUGCGGCUGCUCGAGUGCAUGAGUCUGCUGCUCGGGCAGUGGAGGCUGCCAUGUACCUGAAAAUUAAAUAUUACCGGAAAAAAUUAGAAGAAAAUAAAACAGACAAAUAAAUA
Portunus trituberculatus (swimming crab) is the source of this 383-nucleotide long non-coding RNA. RefSeq lists it as uncharacterized. Lineage: Eukaryota; Metazoa; Arthropoda; Malacostraca; Decapoda; Portunidae. The record is from RefSeq and is a predicted model, not a curated record. The transcript is spliced from 2 exons.